AGGUCGCCACUGCACGCCUCGUCCUCCAAACCAACCUGAUCGGUCGCGCCGCGCCACCGCUCCACCAGCAACUAACCCUAACCCAACCCCCACCAAACCCCUGGUCGUGACUCGCGGGCGUGUUCUUGGCGGCGGCCAUGGACAAGGGCGCGGCGCUGGCAUCGUCCGACGGCGUCCACCACGACCGCCCGGGGGCCAUCGCCGGGAGCGCCGUCGGCACCGGCACGGGGUCGUCGUCGUUCGCGAGCUGGCGCGCGUACGGGCGCGCGCUGGCGCAGACCCCGCGGCGCGUGGCGCGGCGGGCGCUGGCGGCGACGGCGCCGGGGGAGGAGAUGAGCCGCGUGCGGGCGCGGUCGGGCGCGGACAUGGCGCGCGCGCUGCGGUGGUGGGACCUGGUGGGGCUGGGGCUCGGCGGCAUGGUGGGCGCGGGCGUGUUCGUGACCACGGGGCGCGCCGCCAGGCUCUACGCGGGGCCCGGCGUCGUCGCGUCCUACGCCAUUGCGGGCCUCUGCGCGCUGCUCUCCGCCUUCUGCUACACCGAGUUCGCCGUCGACAUGCCCGUCGCCGGCGGCGCCUUCAGCUACCUCCGCGUCACGUUCGGGGAGCUGGCGGCGUUCCUGACGGGGGCGAACCUGAUCAUGGAGUACGUGUUCUCCAACGCCGCCGUGGCGCGCAGCUUCACGGCGUACCUGGGCACGGCGGUGGGCGUGGACGCGCCCCGCGAGUGGCGGAUCGCCGUGCGCGGCCUGCCCGAGGGCUUCAACCAGGUGGACCUCGUCGCCGUCGCCGUCAUCCUCCUCGUCUCCGUCUGCAUCUGCUACAGCACCAAGGAGAGCUCGGCGGUGAACCUGGCGCUGACGGCGGUGCACGUGGCGUUCAUCCUGUUCGUGAUCGGGAUGGGGUUCCGGCACGGCGACGCGCGCAACCUGACGCGGCCGGCGGACCCGGCGCGCAGCCCCGGCGGGUUCUUCCCGCACGGCGCCGCGGGCGUGUUCAACGGCGCGGCCAUGGUGUACCUCAGCUACAUCGGGUACGACGCCGUGUCCACCAUGGCGGAGGAGGUGCAGCGGCCGGCGCGCGACAUCCCCGCCGGCGUGUCCGGCUCCGUCGUCGUCGUCACCGUGCUCUACUGCCUCAUGGCCGCCUCCAUGUCCAUGCUCCUCCCCUACGACGCGAUUGACCCAGAGGCGCCGUUCUCGGGGGCGUUCAAGGGGCGGGAGCGGUGCGCGUGGGUGUCCAACGUGGUCGGCGCCGGCGCCAGCCUCGGCAUCCUCACCUCGCUCAUGGUGGCCAUGCUGGGGCAGGCGCGGUACCUGUGCGUCAUCGGCCGCUCCGGCGUCAUGCCGGCGUGGCUCGCCCGGGUCAACCCCCGCACCGCCACCCCCGUCAACGCCUCCGCCUUCCUCGGCCUCUUCACGGCGGCGCUGGCGCUGUUCACGGAGCUGGACAUCCUGCUCAACCUGGUCUGCAUCGGCACGCUCUUCGUCUUCUACAUGGUGGCCAACGCUGUCGUGUACCGCCGCUACGCCGGGGCCGGGGCCACGUGGCCGACGCUCGCGUUCCUCCUGGUCUUCUCGCUGGCCGCGCUCGCGUUCACGCUGGCCUGGAAGCUGGCGCCGCCCGAGCCGCGGGGCCUGCGCGCGGGCCUCCUGGCCGCGUGCGCGGCGCUGGCGGCGGCCGCGGUCGCCGCGUUCCAGGCGCUGGUGCCGCAGGCGCGCUCGCCCCAGCUGUGGGGCGUCCCCGGGAUGCCAUGGGUGCCCGCCGCCUCCGUCUUCCUCAACGUCUUCCUGCUCGGCUCGCUGGACCGCCCCUCCUACGUCCGCUUCGCCAUCUUCUCCGCCGCCGCGCUGCUCGUCUACGUGCUCUACAGCGUGCACGCCAGCUACGACGCUGAGGAGAGCGGGCGGCUCGAUGUGGACGCCGCCGGCGGCAAGGUGCAGGACGAAGCGUGCACGGUGUAGGGAGUGUAGCUUCGUUGCAUUGGGGCCCGGGUGUCUGGCUGACGUCAUAGAGAAGACUUUUAUUUUUGACACGUGGUACGUUCGUAUCCUGACGAGAGCACAGAAAGAAAAGGUCUAACAAGUGUGCGUGAUAUAAAUGACGAGAUAUGUAUUCUGAAGUAGUAACUUGCAAAGAUGAAAAAAUACCGUUACCGUUCUCUUCAAGCCA
Molecule: long non-coding RNA, 2169 nt
Organism: Zea mays
Lineage: Eukaryota; Viridiplantae; Streptophyta; Magnoliopsida; Poales; Poaceae
Exons: 5
Source: RefSeq, a predicted model, not a curated record